Long non-coding RNA from Corticium candelabrum, 98 nucleotides. RefSeq lists it as uncharacterized. Lineage: Eukaryota; Metazoa; Porifera; Homoscleromorpha; Homosclerophorida; Plakinidae. The record is from RefSeq and is a predicted model, not a curated record. The transcript has 2 exons.
ACAUAAUCUCGGUCACAGUAUGAGCGCACUUGUUGGGUUCUACAGCUUUCAGAUUAUCAUGAUGGAGUUCUACAUUGAAUGCAUUCUGGCACAAGUUG